Molecule: ribosomal RNA, 488 nt
Filed under: uncultured bacterium
Lineage: Bacteria
Description: partial 16S ribosomal RNA
Rfam family: Bacterial small subunit ribosomal RNA
Source: RNAcentral
GACGAACGCUGGCGGCGUGCUUAACACAUGCAAGUCGAACGGAAAGGCCCUGCUUUUGUGGGGUGCUCGAGUGGCGAACGGGUGAGUAACACGCGAGUAACCCGCCCUUGACUUUGGGAUAACUCCAGGAAACUGGGGCUAAUACCGGAUAGGAGCUCCUGCUGCAUGGUGGGGGUUGGAAAGUUUCGGCGGUUGGGGAUGGUCUAGCGGCUUAUCAGCUUGUUGGUAAGGUAGUGGCUUACCAAGGCUAUGAUGGGUAGCCGGCCUGAGAGGGUGAUCGGCCACACUGGAACUGAGACACGGUCCAGACUCCUACGGGAGGCAGCAGUAGGGAAUCUUCCGCAAUGGGCGAAAGCCUGACGGAGCAACGCCGCGUGAGUGAUGAAGGUCUUCGGAUCGUAAAACUCUGUUAUUAGGGAAGAACAAAUGUGUAAGUAACUAUGCACGUCUUGACGGUACCUAAUCAGAAAGCCACGGCUAACUACGUG